UACGGUACGAAAAUUGGUCAUGGGGA
Molecule: small RNA, 26 nt
Filed under: Arabidopsis thaliana (thale cress)
Lineage: Eukaryota; Viridiplantae; Streptophyta; Magnoliopsida; Brassicales; Brassicaceae
Description: ATSL119650
Source: RNAcentral